RNAcentral lists this ribosomal RNA (253 nucleotides) under uncultured bacterium. RNAcentral describes it as "partial 16S ribosomal RNA". It matches the Rfam family "Bacterial small subunit ribosomal RNA", at positions 524 to 776 of the family's 1533-position model. The record is from RNAcentral.
UACAGAGGGUGCGAGCGUUGUUCGGAAUUAUUGGGCGUAAAGGGCGCGUAGGCGGUGCCACAAGUCACCUGUGAAAUCUCCCGGCUUAACUGGGAGCCUGCAGGCGAAACUGUGGUGCUGGAGGAUGGGAGAGGUGCGUGGAAUUCCCGGUGUAGCGGUGAAAUGCGUAGAUAUUGGGAGGAACACCAGUGGCGAAGGCGGCUCACUGGACCGGUACUGACGCUGAGGCGCGAAAGCGUGGGGAGCAAACAGG